GAUGAACGCUGGCGGCGUGCCUAAUACAUGCAAGUCGAGCGAACGGACGAGAAGCUUGCUUCUCUGAUGUUAGCGGCGGACGGGUGAGUAACACGUGGAUAACCUACCUAUAAGACUGGGAUAACUUCGGGAAACCGGAGCUAAUACCGGAUAAUAUUUUGAACCGCAUGGUUCAAAAGUGAAAGACGGUCUUGCUGUCACUUAUAGAUGGAUCCGCGCUGCAUUAGCUAGUUGGUAAGGUAACGGCCUACCAAGGCAACGAUGGAUAGCCGACCUGAGAGGGUGGUCCGCCACCCUGGGAAUGGGACCAGGGCCAGACUCCUACGGGGAGCAGCAGUAGGGAAUCUUCCGCAAUGGGCGAAAGCCCGACGGGGCAACGGCGCGUGAGGGAUGAAGGUCUUCGGAUCGUAAAACUCUUUUAUUAAGGAAGAACAUAUGUGUAAGUAACUGUGCACAUCUUGACCGUUCUUAAUCAGAAAGCCACCGCUAACUUCGUGC
This 498-nucleotide ribosomal RNA is filed under the name uncultured bacterium. Its description in RNAcentral is "partial 16S ribosomal RNA". It matches the Rfam family "Bacterial small subunit ribosomal RNA", at positions 28 to 508 of the family's 1533-position model. The record is from RNAcentral.